GAUAGCUCAGCGGUAGAGCAGUUGACUGUUAAUCAAUUGGUCGCAGGUUCGAUCCCUGCUC
This 61-nucleotide transfer RNA is filed under the name pig gut metagenome. It matches the Rfam family "tRNA", at positions 6 to 65 of the family's 71-position model. From Rfam's summary of the family: Transfer RNA (tRNA) molecules are approximately 80 nucleotides in length. The record is from RNAcentral.